This 252-nucleotide long non-coding RNA is filed under the name Hordeum vulgare. RNAcentral's name for it is "long non-coding RNA (HVUL_LNC015359)". Lineage: Eukaryota; Viridiplantae; Streptophyta; Magnoliopsida; Poales; Poaceae. The record is from RNAcentral.
UUUAACUUUACAUGCUUGAUAAAAGAAAAUGGUGUAGUGGGCAUAUAUAAGAUGUCAAUCAAAAUCUUAAACCAUGCAAAAUACUUCUGGUACAAAAAAUUCUACUUUGUUCAAAUCAACCUGCAUAUUUAAGAAACAACAAUUAUAUUCUUUUUCGGAGACAAACAUAUAUUAGCUGAUAAUACUAAUAGAUAUUAGUGAUGAUUAUCAUAACACCUUCCAUGUGCAUAUUAUCCAUAUGUUAUAACGGCC